Molecule: long non-coding RNA, 1461 nt
Organism: Rhagoletis zephyria (snowberry fruit fly)
Lineage: Eukaryota; Metazoa; Arthropoda; Insecta; Diptera; Tephritidae
Source: RefSeq, a predicted model, not a curated record
UUGGAAUUUAGCGUUAGAGGAAAGCGGAUGUGAUUUACUGGAUGGCUGGAAAAUAAUAAAGAAGCAUCAUCAGCUUAAGCGAAAGAGAAAGGAAUUUCGAAAGGAAUUACAAAUACAUACAUAUGUAUAAAAAGAAAGAAAAAUAAAAGAAAACGUGCGUUAAACGAGCGAAAGAAUAAAAUAAAAAAUAAAAAACAAAUACACAGCAGAAUAAAAUAGACAUUCUAAAAAAGCUGUAGUUACAAAAAAAUAAAAAAUUUUAUACUAAAAAUAUACUUAUAAAGUGAAAGAAUUUCAAACGAAAUAGUAAAACGAAAUUCAAGGCAGCGCAAACGAGCGAAAGAAGCAGAUUUUUGCAGGCGGCGCGUAACCCAGAAAAAAGCUGAUCGUACGUGCAGCGAGGUUACGCACACAUUCAAGGAUUUGCUUGUACAGCAGUUUGUACUAUAAGUGCGCGCUGGAGCGCUUUGGUGGCACGUGGCGUAUGAGUAACGCGACCUUCAAACGCUACAAAACCAAAGUGAGCCUGAAGGAGUUUUUAACCAAAGACCAAAAAGAAGAAAGAACUCUGCAUUUUAUUAUCAAAAAAAAAAAAAAAACAGAGCGCAUUUUCUACGCAGUUCAACAAGCAAAAAGCAAGCACACGCCUGCCUCCUCCCAACAGCAACACAUACAAAGAAGGAGCAUUACAGAGGAGGUUGGGUCAGUCGUGACUAGGCUAAGAAGCAGCGAGAAAGCGAAGCGAUUGCACGCGCAAACAAGGAAGAUCCAACUUUCACGAGCCAAAAGACUGAGUUGCUACUAGUUUUUAGUAGUGAAAAAAUCUUUAAAAGAAGAAGCGAAGCGCCACCGAAAAAAGGACGAUCUACAGGCAGCAGCAGCAGAGCAGCAAGGAAAACCAACAGAACGAAAGAAAGCAGGCAACGAAGAAAUUUCGCCUUAAAGAAAUUAUUGCGGUUGCCUACUAACAGAGAGAAAAGCGCUGCGAGCGAGCAUUAACAGGAAUUUGUCGUAAAAAAGCAAGAGGUUUGUUUCCAAGUGAAAGAAAAGCAAGAACGGUUUUUUUGCUGCCUCGAAGUUGGCAGAAAAUUAACAAAAAAAAAAGAAGAGUUUUUAGAUAUACUCUGCUUGAGUAGCACGCUAGCAAGCUAGCAGUGGAUAGCAAAUAUACAUAAGUUCAAGCUGCGAAGCAACAAGCUGGGUAACAAAAGUAAUCAGCAAAGCAAGUGGUUACACAUAGAGCGUGAGGCAGCAGCCGAGGGAGGGGAUACCUACAAACAACAAAAAGAUAGUCUAAAAACUGCUGCUGUUGUAACCGUUCUUCGCUUAUUGUUUGCUUGUUUUUUUGGUCGCGUAAACUUUGUCAUCGCAUUCGAAGCAACGCGUGAACACUGGCUUGACAACGCCGGCUGCGACAGCACAGCGAUUAAGUCAUCGUUUUGUUGUUUAUGCAUACGAAAA